Molecule: signal recognition particle RNA, 101 nt
Filed under: Planctomycetaceae bacterium
Lineage: Bacteria; Pseudomonadati; Planctomycetota; Planctomycetia; Planctomycetales; Planctomycetaceae
Also listed under: 1 other name
Description: signal recognition particle sRNA small type
Rfam family: Bacterial small signal recognition particle RNA
About the family: The signal recognition particle (SRP) is a universally conserved ribonucleoprotein involved in the co-translational targeting of proteins to membranes. Archaeal SRP consists of a 7S RNA and homologues of the eukaryotic SRP19 and SRP54 proteins.
Source: RNAcentral
AGGCUGUCUCCGAGUGCAAUGGGGACUUGUGAACCAGGUCAGGUCUUAACCGAAGCAGCCUUAAGCAACCGUCUCCCAUGUGCAUGAGGAGACAGCCUUUC